AUCUAGAUGAUCAGUCCCAAAUAGGAUGAAACCCGCAUCCUGGAU
This is a non-coding RNA of Schistosoma margrebowiei, 45 nucleotides long. Lineage: Eukaryota; Metazoa; Platyhelminthes; Trematoda; Strigeidida; Schistosomatidae. The record is from Rfam.